UACGGAGGGGGCUAGCGUUGUUCGGAAUUACUGGGCGUAAAGCGCACGUAGGCGGUUUUGUAAGUUAGAGGUGAAAGCCCAGGGCUCAACCCUGGAAUUGCCUUUAAGACUGCAUCGCUUGAACAUCGGAGAGGUAAGUGGAAUUCCGAGUGUAGAGGUGAAAUCCGUAGAUAUUCGGAAGAACACCAGUGGCGAAGGCGACUUACUGGACGAUUGUUGACGCUGAGGUGCGAAAGCGUGGGGAGCAAACAGG
Molecule: ribosomal RNA, 253 nt
Filed under: uncultured bacterium
Lineage: Bacteria
Description: partial 16S ribosomal RNA
Rfam family: Bacterial small subunit ribosomal RNA
Source: RNAcentral